ACAUCCAAGGAAGGCAGCAGGCGCGCAAAUUACCCACUCCCGGCACGGGGAGGUAGUGACGAAAAAUAACGAUACGGGACUCAUCCGAGGCCCCGUAAUCGGAAUGAGUACACUCUAAACCCUUUAACGAGGAUCAAUUGGAGGGCAAGUCUGGUGCCAGCAGCCGCGGUAAUUCCAGCUCCAAUAGCGUAUAUUAAAGUUGUUGCGGUUAAAAAGCUCGUAGUCGAAUCUGUGUCGCGCGCCGCCGGUUCAUCGCUCGCGGUGUUUAACUGGCGUGUCCGCGGGACGUCCUGCCGGUGGGCUUAGCCCCUCGGGGCGGCCCAACUUGAAAUCCCACCGCGGUGCUCUUCACUGAGUGUCGAGGUGGGCCGGCACGUUUACUUUGAACAAAUUAGAGUGCUUAAAGCAGGCUAAAACUUCGCCUGAAUACUGUGUGCAUGGAAUAAUGGAAUAGGACCUCGGUUCUAUUUUGUUGGUUUUCGGAACCCCGAGGUAAUGAUUAAUAGAAACGGAUGGGGGCAUUCGUAUUGCGACGUUAGAGGUGAAAUUCUUGGAUCGUCGCAAGACGGACAGAAGCGAAAGCAUUUGCCAAAAACGCUUUCAUUGAUCAAGAACGAAAGUUAGAGGUUCGAAGGCGAUCAGAUACCGCCCUAGUUCUAACCAUAAACGAUGCCAGCUAGCGAUCCGCCGACGUUCCUCCGAUGACUCGGCGGGCAGCUUCCGGGAAACCAAAGCUUUUGGGUUCCGGGGGAAGUAUGGUUGCAAAGCUGAAACUUAAAGGAAUUGACGGAAGGGCACCACCAGGAGUGGAGCCUGCGGCUUAAUUUGACUCAACACGGGAAACCUCACCAGGCCCGGACACCGGAAGGAUUGACAGAUUGAGAGCUCUUUCUUGAUUCGGUGGGUGGUGGUGCAUGGCCGUUCUUAGUUGGUGGAGCGAUUUGUCUGGUUAAUUCCGAUAACGAACGAGACUCUAGCCUGCUAACUAGGCGUAUUUUCGACAUCUCAAAGGCCCGCCGGCUCGGCGCAUCCGUGCCGUGGUCGCGCGUGGUUUUUACUGUCGGCGUACAAUCAAUUCUUCUUAGAGGGACAGGCGGCUUCUAGCCGCACGAGAUUGAGCAAUAACAGGUCUGUGAUGCCCUUAGAUGUUCUGGGCCGCACGCGCGCUACACUGAAGGAAUCAGCGUGUCCUCCCUGGCCGAGAGGCCCGGGUAACCCGCUGAACCUCCUUCGUGCUAGGGAUUGGGGCUUGCAAUUGUUCCCCAUGAACGAGGAAUUCCCAGUAAGCGCGAGUCAUAAGCUCGCGUUGAUUACGUCCCUGCCCUUUGUACACACCGCCCGUCGCUACUACCGAUUGAAUGAUUUAGUGAGGUCUUCGGACCGGUACGCGGCGGCGCUCCCGCGUCGCCGAUGUUGCUGGGAAGAUGACCAAA
This 1433-nucleotide ribosomal RNA is filed under the name Crenitis sp. MSC1819. RNAcentral's name for it is "SSU rRNA". It matches the Rfam family "Eukaryotic small subunit ribosomal RNA", at positions 412 to 1763 of the family's 1831-position model. The record is from RNAcentral. Lineage: Eukaryota; Metazoa; Arthropoda; Insecta; Coleoptera; Hydrophilidae.